GUGUCAGCCGCCGCGGUAAGACAGAGGGUGCAAACGUUGUUCGGAAUUACUGGGCGUAAAGCGCGUGUAGGCGGCUCGGCAAGUCGGGUGUGAAAGCCCUGGGCUCAACCCAGGAAGUGCACUCGAAACUGCCGGGCUUGAGUCCCGGAGAGGAAGGCGGAAUUCUCGGUGUAGAGGUGAAAUUCGUAGAUAUCGAGAGGAACACCGGUGGCGAAGGCGGCCUUCUGGACGGUGACUGACGCUGAGACGCGAAAGCGUGGGGAGCAAACAGGAUUAGAAACCCUAGUAGUCC
RNAcentral lists this ribosomal RNA (292 nucleotides) under uncultured bacterium. RNAcentral's name for it is "partial 16S ribosomal RNA". It matches the Rfam family "Bacterial small subunit ribosomal RNA", at positions 505 to 796 of the family's 1533-position model. The record is from RNAcentral.